AUUGAACGCUGGCGGCAUGCUUUACACAUGCAAGUCGAACGGUAACAGGCCUUCGGGUGCUGACGAGUGGCGAACGGGUGGGUAAUGCAUCGGAACGUACCCAGAGGUGGGGGAUAACGCAGCGAAAGCUGUGCUAAUACCGCAUGUGAUCUGAGGAUGAAAGCGGGGGACCGAGCAGCAAUGUUUGGCCUCGCGCCUUUGGAGCGGCCGAUGUCGGAUUAGCUAGUUGGUGGGGUAAAGGCCUACCAAGGCGACGAUCCGUAGCUGGUCUGAGAGGACGACCAGCCACACUGGGACUGAGACACGGCCCAGACUCCUACGGGAGGCAGCAGUGGGGAAUUUUGGGCAAUGGGCGCAAGCCUGAUCCAGCAAUGCCGCGUGCGGGAAGAAGGCCUUCGGGUUGUAAACCGCUUUUGGCAGGAACGAAACGGUGUCCGCUAAUACCGGGCGCUAAUGACGGUACCUGCAGAAUAAGCACCGGCUAACUACGUG
Molecule: ribosomal RNA, 492 nt
Filed under: uncultured bacterium
Lineage: Bacteria
Description: partial 16S ribosomal RNA
Rfam family: Bacterial small subunit ribosomal RNA
Source: RNAcentral